CAGCCGCCGCGGGAACACGAAGGGUGCAAGCGUUAAUCGGAAUUACUGGGCGUAAAGCGUGCGUAGGCGGUUUGUUAAGUCUGUUGUGAAAUCCCCGGGCUCAACCUGGGAAUGGCAAUGGAUACUGGCAAGCUAGAGUGUGUCAGAGGAUGGUGGAAUUCCCGGUGUAGCGGUGAAAUGCGUAGAGAUCGGGAGGAACAUCAGUGGCGAAGGCGGCCAUCUGGGACAACACUGACGCUGAGGCACGAAAGCGUGGGGAGCAAACAGGAUUAGAUACCCCAGUAGUCCCUGUCUCUUAUAA
This 301-nucleotide ribosomal RNA is filed under the name uncultured bacterium. Its description in RNAcentral is "partial 16S ribosomal RNA". It matches the Rfam family "Bacterial small subunit ribosomal RNA", at positions 509 to 809 of the family's 1533-position model. The record is from RNAcentral.